AGCGAACGCUGGCGGCAGGCCUAAAACAUGCAAGUCGAACGCCCGUAGCAAUACGGGAGUGGCAGACGGGUGAGUAACACGUGGGAACGUACCCUUUGGUUCGGAACAACACAGGGAAACUUGUGCUAAUACCGGAUAAGCCCUUACGGGGAAAGAUUUAUCGCCAGAGGAUCGGCCCGCGUCUGAUUAGCUUGUUGGUGAGGUAACGGCUCACCAAGGCUACGAUCAGUAGCUGGUCNGAGAGGAUGAUCAGCCACACUGGGACUGAGACACGGCCCAGACUCCUACGGGAGGCAGCAGUUAGGAAUCUUGGACAAUGGGCGCAAGCCUGAUCCAGCCAUGCCGCGUGAGUGAUGAAGGCCUUAGGGUUGUAAAGCUCUUUCAGCGGGGAAGAUAAUGACGGUACCCGCAGAAGAACGCCCCGGCUAACUUCGU
RNAcentral lists this ribosomal RNA (435 nucleotides) under uncultured bacterium. RNAcentral describes it as "bacterial SSU rRNA". It matches the Rfam family "Bacterial small subunit ribosomal RNA", at positions 29 to 506 of the family's 1533-position model. The record is from RNAcentral.